AAAUCCCUCAUUCGACAAUCCUAGAUUCAAUUCUACACCCUAGCCUCCCACCCCCUUCAUUGCAAACCCUCUGGUUCAUCAUCCUCGUGGUCUCUAUUUCUGUUUUUCUUUAUCAAAGAUUGAGGAUAAUCAAAUCACAGGUUAAAGAAUACAAGUUUUUGUCAUCGCUAAAUCAACUACAAUCCAGAGGAUGUUCUUUAUCUUCAAGUUAUUUAACCUUGAAUCAUCUACGUUCCAACCAUGUUCUCUGUCUUGAUUUCAAGGGCGUCAUUGAUUUGUGUUUUGUUUGUUCUUCAAUACGCGAAUCGCUUAAUUUUGGGAUUAGGGUCCAAUGAUGACGAUUUCUUUCUGGCUUUCUCUGCGUUGGAUCUAGCAACAACUCAAACAAUUGCACGACCAACUGCACCCGACUUCCCGCGACCAUGACUAACAAGCAAAGCCAUUGUGCUACACAGUGUUGUAUCCAAAAUUGCAUCAACAAAGCGUGAUGGUUAUUAAAGUUGAUUGUUGAUGAUAGUUUCAAAAGUUGAAGUUUUUAAAUCCUAACCUCUUAACCACCUCAAUUUGGUUUUCUAUAAUCUAACUAGGUGAGGUGAUUAUGGCUGAAAUAUACAUCCGAUGUUUGCUUUUUUGUUUCUAUAAUUGUGCUAGAGCAUCAAGUGAUGAUACAUCGUGUAGCCAUGUUUCAUUUUCAGUUUGUUGAUGUGGACAUGGCAAGAUCUUUUACCGUGAGAUUCAUUAUAUAACUGUGUAUAUUUGCUAUUUUUUUAUUAAAUAUUUUAGGAGUAUGAUCCUGAUCUCCCACCAGAGCUAUCAUCUCAUCUGAAAACCAUUUCUUUGGAAAAGUGAAUGUGCAAAGUGACUUAGUUAAGGGAUCUAUACUUUCUCGAAUGUAAUUGGUAUGGACUAAUCUUUGUUUAAAUUGUUUCGUUAUAAGGGUUUAAAGGAUUUCAAGUUUUUGGGUUUAAAGGAUUUCAAGUUUUUGGGUGAGCAGACGAAGAUCACACUGUAACUUUUUAAACGUUCAUUUUUCUGACUUUUGCAUAAAUUGAUCAAGUGUGGCUUUGGUGUUCAUAUUAAUAGAUGCGCUUUUGUGUUCCUAUCUUCCCAUUGACAGAGGUUAAACUGAAGACACUGGCUGAAAUCGAUGCACAAGGAAAGAUUCUUCCUAAGUUUUUAGUUUGUUCGAAAUUCAUAUUUUAUAGGUUUUCAUUUCGUUUUUGUUCUAAAUAUGCAUGAUACUAAUGGCGAUUUUAAUUUCUUGAAGUCAGGGUUACACAAAUGGGCGGGUGAUGCAUACGAGUUUAAUAAAAAAGAACCCUACAUUGAGCUCAUGACUUCUCCAAACAACCCUAAUGGAUUCACGAGACAUGACGUAGUCAAAGGAGAUAAGGGGAUUUAGAUUGAUGAUCUUGCUUAUUACCGGCCACAUUAUACACCGAUUUUAUCGCUAUAUGAGUAUGAUAUAAUGAUCUUUACUGUCUCUAAAAGUACGGGCCAUGGUGAUUCACGAAUCAGUUUCGGUUGUACAAGGUGGAAAGCAAGCAAGUGGCAGCUCAAUUUCCUUCAACGUUUUACGCAAUCCUUGGCCUAGGGAAAAAUGACAUAUUUGUAUCUGAUAGUGCACAGUUCCACCUUUCCCACCUUCAGGUUUCUGUUUGAUUUACAUUUAGUUUGUAUUUGAUGACAUAUUUUUUGCAUUUUAGUGUUUUCCUCUUUGAAUAAUUAUAUUUAGAUAAUAUGAUCUGGUUACCGUAAACAGAUAGUAAUAACGUUUGCAUCUGACCUUUACUUUUUAUUAGUUUUUGUGUUAGGCCUUAUUUGGGUCUAAAGUUACAAUGGCGGCACAAGAUCCGUCAUGACUCAUAUCUGGUAACUUUUCCAUUAAUCGUAUUGUGUAUUGUUUGUACCGGCUUUCAUGAUACGUCAACUAUUGCUCAAGACUGAAGUUAUAGAUGAUUAACAUAAAUCUAGGCUUACAAUUACAUGAUGCAUAAAUAAAUGCCCAAGACUGAAGUUAUAUGGCUUUCAUGGAAUUACCCCUGUGCAGUUGACCACUGAUCUCAAACCAAGUGUACCUUGUAAGUAUUGAUAAAUUAAAGAGUAAAUUACUUUUUAGUCCUUGUGUUUUAGUGGUUUCAACCAUUUGAGUCCAAACAAAAUGUUUAACGCCCUGAUUCCCUUGAUGUUUUUUAUAACUUUUUGAGUCCUUCUGCAUUUUUAACCUUUUGAGUCCAUUUUUUUAACAAAGUUGGUCUCAAAACGUUAUAAAAUGAACAAUUUUUUUAACAAUUUUUAACCUGUUGUUACCUGAGAUGAGAAAGGUUAGCUGUUGGCCAAACGUGUUGCUGACAAAAGCAAUAUACAUGCUUCUAUAUGCAAGGUAAUUUUGCACUUUAAUCGUUUAUGACAAAAUAUAGGUGAUUCGGAUGUAUCUUUUUCAUCUAUGUCGAAUAAUAUUAGGGGUAAGUCUUCAUUUUUGUGUUGGUUCUAAUUGUAUCUGAUGCUCAUCAGAAAAAUAAUAGUAAAUAAAAGCUUGAAAUUCACAGUAGUUCAAUUGACAAUAGUUCAUGAUUAGUUUCAGUUAGUUCAUGAUUGCAGUUAAACUUAAAUAAUGCAGAAAAACAAGGUAGAGGUGGCAAAGUGGGUGAGUGGGUUGGGUAAUGGGUCAAUAUGGAUUUCGGUCAUAUGGGUGAUAUUUUGGUUUAGGUUGGGCGUGUGUUCGUUUAUAUGGGUGUAUCAAUUAUCAGCAGGGGUUGUAAUGGGAAAGUCGCCCUUGCAUCAACUCCUUGGUGAAAUCGACGAACUCGCAUUUUUGUGGCUGGCUAACAGAGCAAAAUCAGGUCCAACGAUUUGGAGUCUUGGGUGAAUUAUAGUAUCAGUAUGUAAUAGUAUGUAAUGAUGGGGGUUGUGUGUUUGUUUGGUUGGGUCUUGGUUUGGGUUGCCUAAUGUAUGACAGUGGCUAACGGUGUGUAGGAGUUAAAGGUUUUGUGGUGUAUUGUAAUUGUGUCCAGCUACUUGCUGGCUUUUUAGUAAUAAAAGUCCCCUUUGCUGUUAAAGAAAGCAAUUGCU
This is a long non-coding RNA of Helianthus annuus (common sunflower), 3072 nucleotides long. RefSeq lists it as uncharacterized. The record is from RefSeq and is a predicted model, not a curated record. NCBI's taxonomy places the organism in Eukaryota, Viridiplantae, Streptophyta, Magnoliopsida, Asterales, Asteraceae. The transcript is spliced from 6 exons.